UGAGUAACACGUAUCCAACCUGCUGUCUACUCUUGGCCAGCCUUCUGAAAGGAAGAUUAAUCCAGGAUGGCAUCAUGAGUUCACAUGUCCGCAUGAUUAAAGGUAUUUUCCGGUAGACGAUGGGGAUGCGUUCCAUUAGAUAGUAGGCGGGGUAACGGCCCACCUAGUCAACGAUGGAUAGGGGUUCUGAGAGGAAGGUCCCCCACAUUGGAACUGAGACACGGUCCAA
This 229-nucleotide ribosomal RNA is filed under the name uncultured bacterium. RNAcentral's name for it is "partial 16S ribosomal RNA". It matches the Rfam family "Bacterial small subunit ribosomal RNA", at positions 107 to 334 of the family's 1533-position model. The record is from RNAcentral.